UACGUAGGGGGCAAGCGUUAUCCGGAUUUACUGGGUGUAAAGGGAGCGUAGACGGCGAUGCAAGUCUGAAGUGAAAGGCGGGGGCCCAACCCCCGGACUGCUCUGGAAACUAUAUGACUGGAGUGCAGGAGAGGUGAGCGGAAUUCCUAGUGUAGCGGUGAAAUGCGUAGAUAUUAGGAGGAACACCAGUGGCGAAGGCGGCCUGCUGGACGGUGACUGACGCUGAGGCUCGAAAGCGUGGGGAGCAAACAGG
This 253-nucleotide ribosomal RNA is filed under the name uncultured Eubacteriales bacterium. RNAcentral describes it as "uncultured Clostridiales bacterium partial 16S ribosomal RNA". It matches the Rfam family "Bacterial small subunit ribosomal RNA", at positions 524 to 776 of the family's 1533-position model. The record is from RNAcentral. Lineage: Bacteria; Bacillati; Bacillota; Clostridia; Eubacteriales.